Molecule: unclassified non-coding RNA, 168 nt
Filed under: uncultured fungus
Lineage: Eukaryota; Fungi
Description: sequence contains ITS1
Source: RNAcentral
GUAUUACUUUAUGGUUUUGACAUUCUGGUUUUACUUGUUAAAUGUAAAGGCGGCCAUGUUGCCACGACCGAGGUGCACAGGUGUGUGUGAUUGUAUUCAACGUGCAGCCCAUGAGGGCGCACAGUCAAAGAAUCUAUAAUGAUCCUUCCGCAGGUUCACCUACGGAAA